Long non-coding RNA from Felis catus (domestic cat), 371 nucleotides. RefSeq lists it as uncharacterized. The record is from RefSeq and is a predicted model, not a curated record. The transcript has 2 exons. Lineage: Eukaryota; Metazoa; Chordata; Mammalia; Carnivora; Felidae.
AGAUCUGUAUUAACUGCGUAUUAUGAUCCAGUGACUGUGAUAAACACUGGCAAUCCCAGAGAUUAGGAAGACAAGGUAUUUCUCACCCACAGGUUGAAGUCCUAACCAGCGAGUGCAUUUGGAGAUAAGGGUAAUUAAGUUAAAAUGAAGCUAUUAGCAUGGGACCCUAAUGCAAUAUGGUUGAUGUCCUGAAAAGAAGAGGAAGACGCUGCAGGGGUGUGAUACAAAGGGUAACCAUGGGAAGAGGCAGCAAGAGGGCGGCCAUCUGCAAGCCAAGGAGGGAGGCCUGAGAAGAAUUUACUGCUGCCAACACCCUGCUCUUGGACUUCCAGAUUCCAGUAUUUUAAGAAAAUAAAUUUCUGUUUAAGCCA